GAUGAACGCUGGCGGCGUGCCUAAUACAUGCAAGUCGAGCGAACAGACGAGGAGCUUGCUCCUCUGACGUUAGCGGCGGACGGGUGAGUAACACGUGGAUAACCUACCUAUAAGACUGGGAUAACUUCGGGAAACCGGAGCUAAUACCGGAUAAUAUAUUGAACCGCAUGGUUCAAUAGUGAAAGACGGUUUUGCUGUCACUUAUAGAUGGAUCCGCGCCGCAUUAGCUAGUUGGUAAGGUAACGGCUUACCAAGGCAACGAUGCGUAGCCGACCUGAGAGGGUGAUCGGCCACACUGGAACUGAGACACGGUCCAGACUCCUACGGGAGGCAGCAGUAGGGGAACUUCCGCAAUGGGCGAAAGCCUGACGGAGCAACGCCGCGUGAGUGAUGAAGGUCUUCGGAUCGUAAAACUCUGUUAUUAGGGAAGAACAAAUGUGUAAGUAACUAUGCACGUCUUGACGGUACCUAAUCAGAAAGCCACGGCUAACUACGUG
This 497-nucleotide ribosomal RNA is filed under the name uncultured bacterium. Its description in RNAcentral is "partial 16S ribosomal RNA". It matches the Rfam family "Bacterial small subunit ribosomal RNA", at positions 28 to 507 of the family's 1533-position model. The record is from RNAcentral.